GUGGUUCCUAAGACCUGACCAGAGGAAUGUUUUCACUUGUAGUAAGACUGGAAGCCAAUUGUCUCCUUAGGUAAAAAAAAAAAGCAGUUGAGCCAGUACUGAUUAGAUCCUCCCCUUCUGACUGAGCCUUAAAAGGAAAUAAUCCAGAGAGAGAGACAAAGGAAGUAGGACAGAGGGUGGAGGCAGGAACAUGGCGAGAGGCCAAGUCAGGGUCCUACUUGCUGAUGUGACAAUGAGGGGCACAAGUGGAGCCCUCAUGGCUUCACUUGGGCAAUCAGCAGCAUAAAAGAUGGGCAGGAAGCAUAGCCACCAUCAACUCACACUGCAGGGAGUCAUGAAUAUCACCUCCGUCUUUGACAUAUGAGGGGAGAAAUGCUCAGACCACAAAAGUGUCCUCCAACCCAGGGUCCAGGAGGGAAGAAUAAAACACUGGGCAAUUGCUGUUCCAGCAUGCCCGCAGAACACAUGGAGCAAAUGCCUUCUCGUCCCAGACCCAGGGACAAGGGAGUCUGCAUGGAGGUGCCACAGAUGGAGCAUUCUGGGAAUAUAGAGACCUGGAUUCUAGGACUGACCUUGUAAGAGUGGAUGACACAGCAAGAAGGUGACUGUGUGCAAGCCAGGAAGAGAAUCUCCACCAGAACCAACCAUGUCGGCACCCUGAUCUCCGACUUCCAGCCUCCAGAACUGUGAGAAAAUAAAUCUCUUUUGUUUAAGCCACUCAGUUUAUGGUAUUUUGUUAUGGCAGCCUGAGCUGACUAAUUCACUACACGUUGUUUAACCUGGUGCAACAGCAAUCUCCUCUUCUUCUGAUCAAGGUACAUCUAUUCCCCUUUGGGGAACUCCCAUCUCAGUUCACAUGAUUUGUGAAGAACUGACCUACUCUUUGGCUCUAGGGAUGGUCAGGAGCUCAACAAGGACAAGUAACUUUUUGAUGCUGUUGGGCAAAAGGUGUCCUUUCCCUCCAGGGUUGCUAGGCUAGUAGGAAGCAAAAUUAGAAUUGACCCUGGGAUAUAUUUGCCAUCCCUUGGGGGAUCCUGCCUGAGAAUAAAGCUAACCUAAUGAAAGCUGAACUGAAGGAUAGAUUUCUAGAUAUUGUUUAAGCACCUGGAUUCAUUACUUGAAUGGAUUACAAGUCAUACUCAUCUCUUGGUUGCACUCCUGCAAAAGCCUUCCAAGCGGUUUUCCUGCUGCCGCCAUGUGUUCUGCACAGGACGGUCCCGGUGGUCUCUUAAUACACGCAUCAGAGCAGAGGCCACUCUCUGCCUAGAAGCCUCCAAUAACUUCCCAUUGCCAUAAAGAUAAUAUCCCCAUUCUUUAUCACACCCACACCAUCUCACAUGAUAUGAUACCUGGUUAUGUCUCCAAAUCUAUCUUAAGCCACUUCCUCCCCUGCCCUUUAGACUCAUCAAUGUGCUACCUGGUUCUUGAGGGGUUAUUCAAAAGUUGUUGUGAUACAUCAAAAUCAACAUCCAAAUGAAUGCAUAAUUGCUCAGCAUAGUCUAUUUUCCACCAGAUGCCAACUCUGCUGGAGAUUUCCAGAGAGCAGCAAUGAUGAUUUGUACAACCCUUUCAUAGAUCCCUGAGAUCCUCUAUUUUAUCUUAAUAAAUACUUAAAAUGUCAAUAGUUAGGAAAGAGCGUGUUACUGUUGUCAUUGUCAGGGAAGCACAAUGAAGCUGAUGAAGGUUUUAGCUCACUCAAGAUGUUAAUGAUUAGUAAACUACAAGAGCCGAGACUAGGACUAAAGUUCCUUGCGUCUGGCUCAUGAAUUUUCCUUCUGUUACCUUCUGGCAAUGAUUAGAUUGGGGUCUGAAUGACUAUCCCUAUAAACUUUUAUCAGAAUAGACAAUGUCAAAACAUUAAAUUAGGAAUUCCUUUCAAGAGCUGCAUGAACCAAGUAUAAGUUGACAGUAUUCCUGAAUGCACAGACACUGCCUGACCUAUGGAGGCAGAAAGUGGCCUGCUCUGCACUUGGAGACAGAUGUAUAAGGAGUUCUGUACCAAUGAACACUUACACAGAAGGCUUCAAUAAAGGGAUGUAUAAAAAUCAGAAAAAGCCAACCAUUUUUCAUACUACAGUGAAAAAUGACUUUUGCAGUGGCUUCUUAGGAAUUGCUUGCAUGGGGAUUGACGGAAGCAAACCAGUUAUGUGUCCUCAUACAUUUCUAUGCACCUGGAGACUUACUGCUUCAAGGUUCAAGUCUCAUUUCAGACCAGCAAUAACAAAAGGUAGGUGGGGAGGGGAGGUAUUCCAAGAGGCACUCACGGUCCUGGUGGUCAUCGCCUUUCCUGCAAAUGACUUGUACCUGCAUGCUCCCAAAGGAGAUCCUGUUUCUGUUUAUUUAAAAAUCCUUUUUUAAAAAAAUAUAUAAAACCUCACCAGAUCAAGUGCACAUUACUGAGCAAAAUGUCUGCAGCUGGCCACUUAGAAAAGCAAACUAUUUACCGCAGAGAUUGAUGAAACCGCGCCAUAAAUUCUUAGUGUAAAAUUUUCUUUUUUCUUCAUCAUUGAAAAGCCCGGAACAAAGGAAAAUAUUUUGGCUUUGUAUAUAUCAGCUUUAUGGUGGCCACAAGUGUUAAUCUCCUGAGUCAGUGAUAUGGGGAAAAAUGGGGCUUGUAAAGCAUAUACUGGCAGGCCAGAAACUCUAACUCGGUUUCUGGGGAUUUCUGUGAUUAGGAGGAAAAGAGAGCCCUUCCACUACCUCUUCACUGCAGAGAAAGGCAGGAAGGCCGAGGCAGGGCAGCCCCAGUGUGCUCACAGAGGGACCAGGCCCAGAGCAAUGGGAGGCUGCAUGCCAGGGAGGGUGGAGAGGUAUAGGCUGGUGGCGCCCUCAGCAGGGUCAUGGUGGGGAAAUGAUGAGGGAGGCAGGCAGGCAUCAGGCUGUCACCAGAUUAUAAAUCGCUGGCCUGUGGGAACUCUGAUUUAUCCAUCUCAGUACCUGUCUGUUCCCUCUUUUUUGACAAGGGAGGCAGGUUGGAUGGGAUGCUCUGAUUGGUGGAGAUAUACACACUACCCAAGAGACUUGUGCUCAGCUGGCGCUGGGUAGAGGGCAGUAAGAUCAUCAGUCUCCUUUGACCUCAGAUUUACUAAUCUCCAUUUUUCUUCCAGCCAGUUAUCAAAAUACGCCAUUCCACUAUAUUUUGAAGAUUGCUUAGAACAAUGAAAAACACAUGUGCUGUAUAUUUUUGGAUUUAAAUUCUGACCCCAUCACUUAUUAACUCUUUACUAACUCUCAAGUGAACAUGGGGCAGGCCACUUAAACUCUCUGAAUUUUAGCUUCUAAUCUGUAAAAUUUCUGUUCCAGAGGGUUUAGCACAACUUCAGGGAGAGUCAUAGAACCAUUCACGUUGUAGUCCACAUGAAUGGUGUUCUGUGAAGUUGUGCAAUAUAUAACCUGUGUGACAGAAAAUGACAACCAAUAUGAGAAAAACGCUCUGAAAGAAAGAGACUUGGUUGUAUUGGAGAAUAUGAAAAAGAUAAUUAAUUUAAGGUGGUGAGUUGGAAAAUGCUUCUUCAAGGAAGUACUACUUAACCUGAGAUGCAAAAUAAGUCAUAGUUUAGUGCAUAGAACUGGGCUGGACAUAUUAUAGAAUCUACAAUAUACUUUCAUUAUGUGCGCAUUUCUUCUCUUGAAAGCAUCUCUCUUGGGUCUUAUUCCCCAGGUCCAGGGUGUCAUUAGGAAGAUUCCUGAGCAAGGUAGUCUUUAGAGCUAGGAAGGGCCUGGAAUGGGAGGCAGGUUAUUAGAGAAAAAACUCAAGCACAGAAUAAGUCCAACUUUUUGAUGUCAGGAUGGAUUCUGAGCCAGGGAUGAGUUAAAAUUCAGAUCUAUAGGUUCCAGCUUGGGAUAGAGGCUACCAUAAGGGAUGAGACCCAGCAAGGCCUGGUGGCAUUACCACUGUUACCAGUGACGUUUCCAGGCCUAGGUCAUCCCUGCUGAUGCUCUCAAUCCAGGCUGUGGAGAGCCGGUUCAUGAAAUGGAUACUAAGAUUCACAGCCCAGCUGAUUCUCUCCAAUGACCUUUAGUGUAGGUCUUAGAACAUGAGAAGGGGCUCGAGGCAGGAGAUUACAAGGGUGUGAGAGUAUGAGGAAAGGGAGGGCCUCACUUGAGGUAGGGUUCACAGUAGGAACUGAGCAUCAAGGAGAAGGAUCUUAUAGCUUGGGCCUGCUGAUGAAUAUUACCUGCCCAAUGCUGAAGUAAAGACCUUUCACAGAUAGCCCCAGGCUCAGCAGGGAGGGAUGUCUCAUCUCCCACUGAUAUCUCUGUGGUUAUAGGCAUGCUAGGCUUCUCAUGCUUCCCUGAGUAGAUCAUCACAUUCCUAUGUCAGGUCUUUGUUCAUAUUGUGACUUCAGUUUCAAUUCUGGGCACACGUCUUUUAUUGGCUCCUCCAGACCCACUCCCUACCCUUCUCUAUCCUGCAUGGACUAAAUCAAUGGGUUUCCUUGCCCUUUGGCUUCCAGUUGGGCUUGGCCAGUGGAGACACUCUCUGCAGAAGAUUAGAGAAAGGAGCACGAGGUCAGACUAUGCAUUUCUAGCUACCAUCCUGCAAGGUCACUUCAGGUUGGCUGUGUCCUUUGACCAAUGGUCACUGUUCCUUUCGAGGCAUCC
RNAcentral lists this long non-coding RNA (4605 nucleotides) under Equus caballus (horse). RNAcentral's name for it is "lncRNA (ENSECAG00000059527.1)". The record is from RNAcentral. Lineage: Eukaryota; Metazoa; Chordata; Mammalia; Perissodactyla; Equidae.